AAUUAAUUGUAAAGUGGUUAAGGUGCAUGCCUACUAGCGUGUUCCUGAGAGCUGAUGGAGUGGAUCAAAGAUAUAAAAGGAUCACAGAAAGGUGUUCGGUUUAGCAGAGAAACUACUAUCAAUGUUAAGACCCUCUCGGAUUAGAGACUAAGGAUUGAGAAAAGGCAAUGUUCCCCUCCUUACCAAGCUCAUCGACAUCUAACAGAAAUGCAGACCAGGAUUUUCUGACUCCUAGGACAAAGCCAAUAAUUGAAAUCACUUCUGGUUACUGAUGGGCUGUCUUCUCCUGCUGCAUCCUGAUGACCCACAUACUUUGAACAGUCAGCUUAUCCCAUUAUCUAACACUUCCUCUGACAACUACCUGAAACCGAUCACCCUCAGAAAACAGCUGCUGAUGUAAGGUGGCAUGAUGUAGAUGCUUUAAAGACUAACUUGAUCAUCUAUCAAAUAAAGAUGUCACAAAAAGACAUUUCCAUGGUAAAGGAUGAGACCUUUGUCAGCUGACUCCUAGUAAAACCCCUGUGGAAUAUCAAAUCUGACUAUACCAAUUGCUAACAUGUGAUUGAUGGAUAGGCGAUCUGUUCUUGCAAACCGGGAUACGAGGUGGCAGCUGUUGAGAAUGGUGGGGACACUUGUGUGGACACAGAAACUAUACGAGAUGGCAGUUACUGCAUCCUCAGGCCCUGCCCAGAGGGAUAUGAAUGCCGAGAUAUGGAACACUAUCAGUUUGAUUGCAUCAGAGGAGCCCUUAUUGUGCCAAACUGAAUGCAGUUUUCCAUUGUUCCAAACUGGAUUCUGCAUAUUCACAGUACGUUCUUGUAAAAUUACUAUUAAAAAUUGGAGCUGACUGUAAAACCUUGAUUGGAAAAAAGAUGAAAUUCUCACAAGUUUUCCCCCAACCCCAUUUUCUUAUUAGUUCUAUUAAACGUGUACUCUGUGCAAACAUAACUGGCAUGUUACAAACAUGAGUGUCAUCCUUCCCUUGUGAGUAAAGUUACACGCAUGCUUAAGUAUUUGUGGAAUCAGGACCACAGAGUAUAAUCCUAUACAUCAUGUCAAUCUGAUUCACAUGACUUACACAACUUAGACUGAUAAGAACAGGCCUCGUGGAGCAAAAUCCUGCAGCUUUCCCAUUUACUUCAGUAGGAAUUUUGCCUGAGUAAGAUGCCAGAAUUUUGUCUCUCCGAACAAGUCUGCAUUCUUUACUCAGAGAGCUUACGGAAAGAGAGGAUAGAUUCCCUGUCACACUGUAAAUCAGGAAUAAUUCAAUUGAACUCAAUACCAGUGAGAGUGAGAUCAGAAAACUGACACCUGACAAUGACAAAUUUACCAUGUAGAGUUAUGUUUGGGGGGGCCUGAUUAUGUAGUCCUUACUCAAGUAUGGCUACUGCUUGAAUGGCAGUCUUGCCUGAGUGAAAAUGGUAGAAUCAGUCCUAUGAUAUUUGUAUAUAUUGUACUGUCUUUUCAUCAUAGCAUAACUAUUAUAAAAAAAUUCAAUAAGCUUAUAAGAAGCAAAUAUUAUCUGUGACACACAAAAAUAAACAACAAAUUUGUUUUUACUAAUUUUGGGCC
Chrysemys picta bellii (western painted turtle) is the source of this 1572-nucleotide long non-coding RNA. Lineage: Eukaryota; Metazoa; Chordata; Testudines; Emydidae. The record is from Ensembl.